RNAcentral lists this ribosomal RNA (321 nucleotides) under Triticum aestivum (bread wheat). RNAcentral describes it as "partial small subunit ribosomal RNA". The record is from RNAcentral. Lineage: Eukaryota; Viridiplantae; Streptophyta; Magnoliopsida; Poales; Poaceae.
AUGAAAACUACAUAUGGGAAACUGCAGCAGAAGAGCAGCAGGAAGCGACACCGUAAUCAGAUAGAUGAGAAUGAUACAAACAUGCAGCAAGACACUUCAAUAUUUAGAAAGAGAAGUUGCUUCUUUCAGCUGCCAUAUUGGGAAACACUUCUAUUGCGUCAUAAUCUGGAUCCUAUGCACAUAGAGAAGAAUGUGUUUGAGAAUAUUCUCCAUCCCCUUAUGAAUGUUAGCAAAAGAUCAAAGGAUAAUCUAAAUGCACGUCUUGACCUACAAGAAUUGAACAUGGGUGGACCAAGCAUUAAUUCUCCGUGCUUCAUUUAG